UUUAAAGAGAGUUUGAUCCUGGCUCAGGACGAACGCUGGCGGCGUGCCUAAUACAUGCAAGUCGAACGAACGGAGGAAGAGCUUGCUCUUCCAAUGUUAGUGGCGGACGGGUGAGUAACACGUGGGCAACCUGCCUGUAAGUUGGGGAUAACUCCGGG
This 158-nucleotide ribosomal RNA is filed under the name Listeria monocytogenes. Its description in RNAcentral is "partial 16S ribosomal RNA". It matches the Rfam family "Bacterial small subunit ribosomal RNA", at positions 1 to 153 of the family's 1533-position model. RNAcentral also lists the same sequence under 1 other name. Lineage: Bacteria; Bacillati; Bacillota; Bacilli; Caryophanales; Listeriaceae. The record is from RNAcentral.